Molecule: ribosomal RNA, 1884 nt
Filed under: Triticum aestivum (bread wheat)
Lineage: Eukaryota; Viridiplantae; Streptophyta; Magnoliopsida; Poales; Poaceae
Description: partial small subunit ribosomal RNA
Source: RNAcentral
AUGAUUAUGUUGGAACGUGCAUUUAUUUGGCGCCAUGGGUACCGCCCGCAGCUACAUGAAUUAGGUGGACAAUCAAAAUUGGAGCGCCCUGCAACUGUCGUACGUCCACAGGAACGCCGCUGCCGCUGUCAGGAUCACCCAGGGGAUCACCGGCGCGAUCGGAGCCGCCAGGCACACCCAGGGGAUCCGAGCCGGUGUCAACCACCUAUCUGGCCUUACAUACCAGGAAUGGCUAGUUCUUCCAGUAGUUAUGCUGACACAGAAUUGCCACUACCAGACGUAACCAAUCAGGAUUUUUUGGAAGAACUCAGUGUGAAACAUGCAAAUAUGAGGUUAUCGUUCUCACCUUCAAGGAUUGCGCACAUGAUCGACAGAUUAGAUCCCGACCACCAAAAGGCCAUCUGCACUAAAACUGGUCUUGGAGGGCUAACGCAAAUGAAGUCAGUGCUUCUCCGACGUAUUACGUUGGUGCUGCUAGCCAAGAGCUACAUCAGAAAAAAGCAGAGUAUUCACAUUGCUGUUUUGGUAUUGGGAACACAUCCGUGCUGGCUCGCUUAUGUAUUCUCGUAUACCUCGUCCGCUGAUGGCACGGUUAUCACGAAGAUCGGCGAUCUGGAGCCAACCAACAUUACAAAUGACCAGCAUACCAACAAAGACACACAUGCGCAUGAAGAUGCUAGCUAUCAACCACAACCACGAGGUCAAACUAUGAGUAGCCAACAAAUGGACAUGAUAUUUCAAACCCAGAAUGAUCUAUUUGCAGAACAAGAGAAAAAGUUGGUCAAACAAGUAGUAGAAGUAGAGCACAAAUUAGAUAAAAGAAUAAUCACCGUGACCGAGGACGUGAUAAACAUAAGGGGUAAAAUUGCCACUCAAGCUAGGUUGUCCAAGCUGGAGAACGAAGUUGGAGACCUCAAAAGGGAACUCCAGGAAUUAAGAUCCCUAGGUGAAACAAACAAACAAUCAACGAAGAGGAAUGCAUACGUACAGGAACAAGAGCAACCAAGCAAUGACAAGUUUUCAUCAACUCCUGUGUUUGACGCAUGGAAAGCACAGACUUCUGCUGGUACACCUAGUGCAAAACCUGUGGUGCAAAACAAGGAGUUGGACCAAGACAUCCCACCACGGAAGCCUGUAUUCAACAAUGCUUACAUAUUGACAGAUGAAGACUAUGAGGCUGAACUUUUCAUCCGAGGGAGUCACGACCUUGUUGAGCUAGUUCACAUCGAAGACAUUGUGCUAACAGUUCAUCAACUCAAGCCAAAUGUUAGCAAACUAUUCUUCGUCGAUGACAUAAGGCCCGUAUACUGCAAUCUACAUCAAGUGGAGUCCAUCCAGGCGUGUAUCAACGAAGCGGUCGAGGAUGGCUUGGUAACACCGCCUAAACCCAUCAAUAUUACCCAGUGGAAAACCACUUGCUAUACUAACAUACCACAACAAACGGAUGGUUACUCAUGUGGGGCGUACACACUCAAAUACAUGUUGACAUGGGACGGAGACAAAAUUACUGAGGAUUUCACACAGGCAGAAAUACAUAUUUUCAGCUGGCAAAUAUGUUCAAGCCUGCUGCGGUCGGAUUGCAACAAGCUUCGGAAAAAAUCAUACAAGAAUCCUAUAGAGAAGGAUGAGUAUGAAGCCAACUUUCCAGAGGAACGAAAAGGUGCAGACGACGACGUCACGAUUGUCAGCAACCCUGAUGUUACAAACAAACCAGACAUAUUCGGUGCCCCAAAGCGUAAACGUGGACGCCCGAGGAAGAAUGCCCCUCCUAGUAAUCCAGUAAAACAACAAUUUGACACAGAGACUAUCGCUAAACAAGUGGAGUCGAAAAGACGCAAGCGCAAACCAUCAAACGUCGUGUCCAGCCCAUUCGUACAGCCAUGA